GAGUUUGAUCUUGGCUCAGAUUGAACGCUGGCGGCAUGCCUUACACAUGCAAGUCGAACGGCAGCAUGAUCUAGCUUGCUAGAUUGAUGGCGAGUGGCGAACGGGUGAGUAAUACAUCGGAACGUGCCCUGUAGUGGGGGAUAACUAGUCGAAAGAUUAGCUAAUACCGCAUACGACCUGAGGGUGAAAGUGGGGGACCGCAAGGCCUCAUGCUAUAGGAGCGGCCGAUGUCUGAUUAGCUAGUUGGUGGGGUAAAGGCCCACCAAGGCGACGAUCAGUAGCUGGUCUGAGAGGACGAUCAGCCACACUGGGACUGAGACACGGCCCAGACUCCUACGGGAGGCAGCAGUGGGGAAUUUUGGACAAUGGGCGAAAGCCUGAUCCAGCAAUGCGCGUGUGUGAAGAAGGCCUGG
This 413-nucleotide ribosomal RNA is filed under the name uncultured microorganism. Its description in RNAcentral is "bacterial SSU rRNA". It matches the Rfam family "Bacterial small subunit ribosomal RNA", at positions 9 to 419 of the family's 1533-position model. The record is from RNAcentral.